CCUACGGGAGGCAGCGGUAGGGAAUCUUCCACAAUGGACGAAAGUCUGAUGGAGCAACGCCGCGUGAGUGAAGAAGGUUUUAGGAUCGUAAAACUCUGUUGUUGGAGAAGAACAGGGACUAGAGUAACUGUUAGUCCUUUGACGGUAUCCAACCAGAAAGCCACGGCUAACUACGUGCCAGCAGCCGCGGUAAU
RNAcentral lists this ribosomal RNA (194 nucleotides) under uncultured Lactobacillus sp. Its description in RNAcentral is "partial 16S ribosomal RNA". It matches the Rfam family "Bacterial small subunit ribosomal RNA", at positions 338 to 524 of the family's 1533-position model. Lineage: Bacteria; Bacillati; Bacillota; Bacilli; Lactobacillales; Lactobacillaceae. The record is from RNAcentral.